Molecule: ribosomal RNA, 116 nt
Filed under: Cronobacter malonaticus
Lineage: Bacteria; Pseudomonadati; Pseudomonadota; Gammaproteobacteria; Enterobacterales; Enterobacteriaceae
Description: partial 16S ribosomal RNA
Rfam family: Bacterial small subunit ribosomal RNA
Source: RNAcentral
UUAAUUGAAGAGUUUGAUCAUGGCUCAGAUUGAACGCUGGCGGCAGGCCUAACACAUGCAAGUCGAACGGUAACAGAGAGCAGCUUGCUGCUCUGCUGACGAGUGGCGGACGGGUG